GACUGGGCGCAGUGGCCGCCUCGAAAAUGACGAGGUUAAGCCAACGUUUGUUUAGCGCUCCAGGCAUGAGUCUAAGCAUUCUUUUUCCUUUGCGACACGAUUUCACUUGCAUCUCGCUCUGUAGAUCAGGCCGGCACGAACUGCCGCCGCUUCCCAAGUGCAGAGUUUAAAGGAGGGCGUCACCACGCCCAGCAAGGGGCUAAGUAUUUUUCCUCCCAUGAAUCCAUUUCUCAAACCCGGGAACCAGGCAAUCAGUUUGCCUGAGGUCACCCAAGGGCCAGAGCGCUUGCACCAGGUCUCAGGAGUGCCCAGUCAGUUGCUCUAUGUCGUCCCCGGCGGCCAGCCUGGGAAGUGGCCGCGGUACACUCUGCAGCGAGCCUGCGCCAGGAAGAGUUAAAAAGCGUGCGAGAGCAAGAGACCGGCGAAUCCAGUUCAGCGAGGGAUCUAGAUUCACCUUGCAGAACUACAGUGACCUCAUUUCAGUCGGUUUUUCUCCUGAACCCAACGAUCACUGCGAAGUUUAAUUCUCUACAACCCAUAAGACACAGGAGGGGAUAGUGUGUUUACAGUCCCUCAACAAAAGCCUGCACGAGAUGGGCUUGGCCUUCUUUGUUUCCUUUAUUAUUAAAAUUGUUAAUGAAAUAAAACCCAAACUU
Non-coding RNA from Cricetulus griseus (Chinese hamster), 656 nucleotides. The record is from RefSeq and is a predicted model, not a curated record. NCBI's taxonomy places the organism in Eukaryota, Metazoa, Chordata, Mammalia, Rodentia, Cricetidae.